Long non-coding RNA from Gossypium raimondii (Peruvian cotton), 689 nucleotides. RefSeq lists it as uncharacterized. The record is from RefSeq and is a predicted model, not a curated record. The transcript has 3 exons. NCBI's taxonomy places the organism in Eukaryota, Viridiplantae, Streptophyta, Magnoliopsida, Malvales, Malvaceae.
UUCAUGUUUAUACCGAUUCGAGUUGCUGUCCUGCAAGCAAUUGCUUCUGCUGCAAAGGCUGAUGCUAUUUGGUGAUGAAGCUCUGUAAUAGAUAAAAGGGCGUUUCCUUGACUGUCUCUGGCCACAAUUCCCACUGCCGAUUGUCGAGCAUUUUCAUCAAAGGCUGCGUCAAAGUUAAGCUUUAUAAACUGACCAGAUUGCCCAAAGAGCACAACAAAAUACCCUACGCAUAUUGGGAUUAUUCUGAUUGAAAACCCAGGACACUCACGAAAAAUGUGAUUUGUGGUUUCUGCUGCUCUACCACACCCAGAACAUGUCGUUUGACUUAGGAGCCUUCUGAAGUGCAGAUUCACCCACGUUGGAAUAUAAUUCCAGGCUAUUCGCCAAAUUGUAAUUUUUAUCUUCGAAGGUAGAUUAAGGAGCCAGAUAUUUUUGUAAAAAUCCCUAGUUUCAGUUUGUAAGGCAUAAGCCCUAGGAUCAUUUUCAUUACCUUGUAAUAGUUUAUAGGCGCUUCUCACGGUGAACUCUCCCGAUGACUCUCCCCUCCAGGCUGGAAAAUCUUUGUGAGGCUCUUUUGCAAGCGGAAUGCAGAGGAUUCUCUCAGCUAUCUCCAUUGGAAAGGUAGACUCAAUCAAGCCCUGUUUCCACUCCCUCUUACUUUCAUCAAUUAGAUCUGCAACUUUACAAUC